Molecule: ribosomal RNA, 482 nt
Filed under: uncultured bacterium
Lineage: Bacteria
Description: partial 16S ribosomal RNA
Rfam family: Bacterial small subunit ribosomal RNA
Source: RNAcentral
UGGGGAAUUUUGGACAAUGGGCGCAAGCCUGAUCCAGCAAUGCCGCGUGCAGGAUGAAGGCCUUCGGGUCGUAAACUGCUUUUGUACGGAACGAAAAGCCUCUCUCUAAUACAGGGGGGUGAUGACGGUACCGUAAGAAUAAGCACCGGCUAACUACGUGCCAGCAGCCGCGGUAAUACGUAGGGUGCAAGCGUUAAUCGGAAUUACUGGGCGUAAAGCGUGCGCAGGCGGUUUUGUAAGACAGCGGUGAAAUCCCCGGGCUCAACCUGGGAACUGCCAUUGUGACUGCAAGGCUGGAGUGCGGCAGAGGGGGAUGGAAUUCCGCGUGUAGCAGUGAAAUGCGUAGAUAUGCGGAGGAACACCGAUGGCGAAGGCAAUCCCCUGGGCCUGCACUGACGCUCAUGCACGAAAGCGUGGGGAGCAAACAGGAUUAGAUACCCUGGUAGUCCACGCCCUAAACGAUGUCAACUGGUUGUUGGGGA